This 1673-nucleotide long non-coding RNA is filed under the name Lepisosteus oculatus (spotted gar). RNAcentral's name for it is "lncRNA (ENSLOCG00000022254.1)". The record is from RNAcentral. Lineage: Eukaryota; Metazoa; Chordata; Actinopteri; Semionotiformes; Lepisosteidae.
ACUAUAAGCCUGAAAUGACAUCAGAUAUGCCACAACCUUGUCAAACAACUACAGAGAACCUUACAUGUGCUGGUGGUUUUGCCAGCAUUAUAACAUGGCUGAUCUACAAAUCUCUUCAAAACCCAAAGUGUGUGUGCUAUUAGCCCAGGAGAAGAAAGUGUUUUAAAGAGGUCUGAAUUCUGGCCCCCGACGUCACCACUAGGAUCAGAAUCAAGGCGGUACUGAACUGGACAGUACGGCUCAUCUCACUUAACCAGCUAGAGCAAUUCAGAUAGAGCACCACUUUAUCUCUCCUAUUCCAGCCAUUGACAGCUCCCAGUUCUGUAUGUUUUUGGAGUUGGAAGCCGGCAGGAGAGGCUGUUUUUGUCCUGGCCUGCAGGGUACAAUGUGUGGUAGAUAAUCCAUCUGUUUUUGUGCUCUAUCACCUUGUUUUUGUUUGGUUAACACCUGACAUAACACUUUGGCCAUCACGCCACAAAUACCAGGAUCAAAGCCAGGCUCUCAGGGGAAAUCUGUAAAUCAUGACAACUUCUGCAUAUUCCACAGGAUUUAUGUCCUGCGAUACUACACCUAAUUUUUCUGGACUCCUAUGCCACCCUGCCGCUCGACUGCAGCCUGUGCUCCACUGCGGGAGACAAGUCCCUGGAUGUUGCUCAAGAAAAGAGCUUCCAUGAUGUCUCAUCCCAGGUGAAUCAGAAGUUCAAUUAAUUAUCGAGCAGCUCGGGCGGAACGGGGGCGGCACUGUUCCAGCACAUGUCAAAGCCAGACUGCUUUCUGGAGUCCCCUUUCACCUACACUGCUCUCUGCACAGCGCUCCCCAGCUCCUGUCCUUCCGCCCAGCAUCAUCCGGGCAGGAGCUCCAGCUUCUCCAGCAGCCUGAGAGACAGCGAACCGCUCUCUCCUCUCGCACAAACAGCUCCUCCUCCCCUCGUCCCCACUCGGCACAAUCGCUCCGUCUCCGCUCAGCCUCUCCCGCUAGUCCUCGGACUACGGGAACGGAUACUUCAGUGAGGGAACGGUGUCCAAGUCCCUCUAAAAAGGACACAGAGAGCCAACAUAGCCGGUGCGCCAGUAAUUCGCGACGUGCCGGAAACUGCCCCCAGCCAGACGCCCAGCAGCAGGGCAGGACCAAGCUCACGUCAGCUCGUGCCCAGCUGCACAGGAGCCUGCCGCGGGAAACAGGUGAACUCCCCGCAGACCUGCGCCGCCGCAGGGAGACUGGUGCACAGAGGGGGGAGACCGUUUCCGGACACGGCUCUUUCUGCAGGACGAACCGGACCCCCGGCUCCUCGCGGGCUGCGUGGGGGCUGCUGGGGAUGGUCAUUAUGCUGUUGCUGGAUUCAAAUAUGGGUUUUGCUCAAACAUUCUGCUUUUUCAAAGAAUGAAUUACUACAAUAACUUCUCCAUAUUGAUAUCUUCUAUUCCCUUAAGUACAUCAAAUUCCAAUAACACCUAUGGUUCUGCCAUUAAGUGACAAUUUUAUGCAGGAUGGGGCGUGCUUUAAUCGGAUAAAUUAGUGCUCUUGGAAGUGCUCUCUUUAAACCUUUUUACACUGAAUAAAAGGACCCUAAUAAAGUCACGAUGAUCACAUGAAAUUUCCGUUGUUUUCUUCUGAGAAAGAAAACAGAUUCAGGAAAAGCAUAUCCUGCCGAUCCAGUGCUUUUUUACUGACG